CCUCCUUCGGGAGNNCAUUAUAUGGCGAACGGGUGAGUAACACGUGGGCAAUCUGCCCUUCACUCUGGGACAAGCCCUGGAAACGGGGUCUAAUACCGGAUACGACCUCCGACCGCAUGGUCUGGUGGUGGAAAGCUCCGGCGGUGAAGGAUGAGCCCGCGGCCUAUCAGCUUGUUGGUGGGGUGAUGGCCUACCAAGGCGACGACGGGUAGCCGGCCUGAGAGGGCGACCGGCCACACUGGGACUGAGACACGGCCCAGACUCCUACGGGAGGCAGCAGUGGGGAAUAUUGCACAAUGGGCGAAAGCCUGAUGCAGCGACGCCGCGUGAGGGAUGACGGCCUUCGGGUUGUAAACCUCUUUCAGCAGGGAAGAAGCGAGAGUGACGGUACCUGCAGAAGAAGCGCCGGCUAACUACGUGCCAGCAGCCGCGGUAAUACGUAGGGCGCAAGCGUUGUCCGGAAUUAUUGGGCGUAAAGAGCUCGUAGGCGGCUUGUCACGUCGGAUGUGAAAGCCCGGGGCUUAACCCCGGGUCUGCAUUCGAUACGGGCNGGCUAGANUUCGGUAGGGGAUAUCGGAAUUCCUGGUGUAGCGGUGAAAUGCNCAGAUAUCANGANGAANCCGGUGGCGAAGGCGGAUCUCUGGGCCGAUACUGACNCUGAGNANCNAAAGCGUGGGGAG
Molecule: ribosomal RNA, 680 nt
Filed under: Streptomyces sp. LK2112.2
Lineage: Bacteria; Bacillati; Actinomycetota; Actinomycetes; Kitasatosporales; Streptomycetaceae
Description: bacterial SSU rRNA
Rfam family: Bacterial small subunit ribosomal RNA
Source: RNAcentral